GCUGCACAUCUCCCUGCAGUCUGAGCCUGUGGUGACCGAUGCGUUCCUGGCCGUGGCUGGCCACAUCUUCUCUGCAGGCAUCACGUGGGGCAAGGUGGUGUCCCUGUAUGCGGUGGCCGCGGGGCUGGCCGUGGACUGUGUGAGGCAGGCCCAGCCUGCCAUGGUCCACGCCCUCGUGGACUGCCUGGGGGAGUUCGUGCGCAAGACCCUGGCAACCUGGCUGCGGAGACGCGGCGGAUGGACUGAUGUCCUCAAGUGUGUGGUCAGCACAGACCCUGGCCUCCGCUCCCACUGGCUGGUG
Molecule: non-coding RNA, 301 nt
Filed under: Homo sapiens (human)
Lineage: Eukaryota; Metazoa; Chordata; Mammalia; Primates; Hominidae
Source: RNAcentral